UCAGAAGUCUGUCACUUUUACAGUCUGUGAUAAAACACUUUGUGUACAUGUUGUUGAAACGUUAUGGAUAUUAGAACGUUUUUCAAAAGACCACCCAGCUCCAUUCAAGCAACAACAUCGCCCAGUGAACUGACGGAUGGUGUUGUUUCAGCAAUGGCGACCAGGGUCAGAGCGGACACAUGCACGGAGCAAUACUGCGCAAAGCGACUGACGUGGCACAUCGCCCUGCCAAAAACCCAAGUGCUGUGGACAAACCGCACCUGCAGUAUCGAAGUGAGAGAAUUGACACCACAUGCAUUGCAAGUUUUGCAAUUAUUCUGCAGACCAAGACGGUCUCAUCAGACAUCACCAGCUUAACCACAGAAGACCAAACCAUUGGCCGUGUGUUCACCCCAACUGUGUGUGUGUCUUCAAAACCCAAGGAGCUUUAAGGUCACAUCUUUCAAGAAAUCAUAGGAAAGGUACAUCUGUUCACCAUCAUGAACAUGAAGAUGAUGAUGCUUCACUUGAGGAACAAAGAAUGCUCUUGAUGGAAGCAUCAAAGAAAGCCCGAGUAGAUGACACACUUAUCAGGGUGAAGAUGGACCUGACAUUCUCCCUCAGGUGGUUGAGGACCAACCCAUGGUGAUACAAAAUCGAUGGCCUGCUUUGUUCUUUAAAGAACAGAUUGGUGAGGAGUUUUUUUCGCAUCAUCAACAAGAACUUACUGGGAACAUUUUGAGCUGCAGUGGAGAAAUACACUCCGAAACUCCUUUGGCUCUACCGAAAGCAUCCUUUGGACAGGACCUAGAACACAUCCUGAUGAAGCUUGAUGAUGAGACCUCUAAUAUUAUCCGGCACCGCCAAGAUGCUGCACUCAGAGGACUUCCCAUUUUUCUCUGUGAGGAACCUGGAGAACUUUUCAAGCAAUGUCUUGAAACUGAUCCAGAUGAUGUGGCUGUGGGGGUGCUUUAUGUCCUUGAGGACUGUGCUGUGGAAACCUCCUCUCCAAAGGUGCAAAACAUUUCAUUGAUUCUGGAGGAAUCUGUAGUUCUACAGGACAUCGCGGAUACUCCCACUGCAGUGGCAUACCUACGCCCUCAACAUUUCCUACCCAGAAGAUCUCUCACACACACACACACACACACACACACACAC
Alosa alosa (allis shad) is the source of this 1137-nucleotide long non-coding RNA. RefSeq lists it as uncharacterized. Lineage: Eukaryota; Metazoa; Chordata; Actinopteri; Clupeiformes; Clupeidae. The transcript is spliced from 6 exons. The record is from RefSeq and is a predicted model, not a curated record.